RNAcentral lists this small RNA (27 nucleotides) under Bombyx mori (domestic silkworm). Its description in RNAcentral is "ovarian small RNA-9678". Lineage: Eukaryota; Metazoa; Arthropoda; Insecta; Lepidoptera; Bombycidae. The record is from RNAcentral.
UUCUUGCCGGUCCUGAACUUGAUGUAC